This 337-nucleotide unclassified non-coding RNA is filed under the name soil metagenome. Its description in RNAcentral is "partial contains 5.8S ribosomal RNA, internal transcribed spacer 2, and large subunit ribosomal RNA". The stretch from base 2 to 119 matches the Rfam family "5.8S ribosomal RNA", at positions 37 to 154 of the family's 154-position model. The record is from RNAcentral.
GUGAAGAACGUAGCGAAAUGCGAUACGUAGUGUGAAUUGCAGAAUUCAGUGAAUCAUCGAAUCUUUGAACGCACAUUGCGCCCUUUGGUAUUCCAAAGGGCAUGCCUGUUCGAGCGUCAUUUGUACCCUCAAGCUUUGCUUGGUGUUGGGCGUCUUGUCUCCAGUCCGCUGGAGACUCGCCUUAAAGUCAUUGGCAGCCGGCCUACUGGUUUCGGAGCGCAGCACAAGUCGCACUCUUUUCCAGCCAAGGUCAGUGUCCAACAAGCCUUUUUUCAACUUUUGACCUCGGAUCAGGUAGGGAUACCCGCUGAACUUAAGCAUAUCAAUAAGCGGAGGA